GUUUUAAUAGUUUAAAUAAAAAACUUUGGUCUUGUAAACCAAUAAUGAAUCCCUUUUCUUAAAACU
RNAcentral lists this transfer RNA (66 nucleotides) under Tubuca rosea. RNAcentral describes it as "tRNA-Thr". It matches the Rfam family "tRNA". Rfam says of the family: Transfer RNA (tRNA) molecules are approximately 80 nucleotides in length. Their secondary structure includes four short double-helical elements and three loops (D, anti-codon, and T loops). Further hydrogen bonds mediate the characteristic L-shaped molecular structure. tRNAs have two regions of fundamental functional importance: the anti-codon, which is responsible for specific mRNA codon recognition, and the 3' end, to which the tRNAs corresponding amino acid is attached (by aminoacyl-tRNA synthetases). tRNAs cope with the degeneracy of the genetic code in two manners: having more than one tRNA (with a specific anti-codon) for a particular amino acid; and 'wobble' base-pairing, i.e. permitting non-standard base-pairing at the 3rd anti-codon position. The record is from RNAcentral. Lineage: Eukaryota; Metazoa; Arthropoda; Malacostraca; Decapoda; Ocypodidae.